RNAcentral lists this ribosomal RNA (253 nucleotides) under uncultured bacterium. RNAcentral's name for it is "partial 16S ribosomal RNA". It matches the Rfam family "Bacterial small subunit ribosomal RNA", at positions 524 to 776 of the family's 1533-position model. The record is from RNAcentral.
UACGUAGGGGGCUAGCGUCGUCCGGAAUCAUUGGGCGUAAAGCGCACGUAGGCGGCCCGGUAAGUCCGCUGUGAAAGUCGGGGGCUCAACCCUCGGAUGCCGGUGGAAACUGUCGGGCUUGAGUACGGAAGAGGCGAGUGGAAUUCCUGGUGUAGCGGUGAAAUGCGCAGAUAUCAGGAGGAACACCAAUUGCGAAGGCAGCUCGCUGGGACGUUACUGACGCUGAUGUGCGAAAGCGUGGGGAGCAAACAGG